This 30320-nucleotide long non-coding RNA is filed under the name Populus tremula. Its description in RNAcentral is "long non-coding RNA (PTRE_LNC000178)". The record is from RNAcentral. Lineage: Eukaryota; Viridiplantae; Streptophyta; Magnoliopsida; Malpighiales; Salicaceae.
UGCCCGGCACCAUCCAAUAGUGGAUCUGACGAAAGAAAUCGAGGAGUGUUUGUUAAAGAACUGGCCCGAUUUGUUGUAAGUGACUAUUUUCAAGUGAUGCCAGCAUCAACCUCAGCAAGCAUUUCUCUUCUUACAAAGCUUGGAGUCAUGGAUACAAGUAACAUCGAGGAGAGGAUUUUUGACAUUGGAGUAACAGAGGUAUGAUCUAAUAUAUGAGCUGUUGCAGUAUUGUCUAGCCUUGUGCUAUGUACAGGCACCCUUUUAAUGUCUCUGUUUUAGGUUUUGGAAUUGCUGCAGUGCUCAUUGGUAUCAAGGACACCUCUGACCGAAGUUUUGCUUUCUCGCAAGGAAGUUCCCGAGUUAAGAAAUGAAGAUUCCCUUCAAAGAACCUCUCUUAUGCAUGAAAUACUAGAGCAUCAAACAGAAGAAAAUGGUGAGACGUCUGUUAGGCUUGUGGUUUGCAAAUCCAAGAAAGUGGUAUGUUACGCAGAAGCGUCAAAAGAUUUUGUUGAUUUACUUUUUAGUUUUCUCACCAUUCCACUUGGGUAUUUGAUGAAUGAAAAGCAUGGUGGAAAAUCAAAAGGAUGCAUCCACCACCUAUAUGACAGUGUCAGUGAUCUCGAUGCUAUGAAAUACCUGAAGUCGAAUGACAUUAAAGAGAUUCUUCUAAAUCCUAAGAUUGCACCUGGUUCUGGCUAUAAGAACCAGCCACUAGGUGUUAAGGAAGCUGUUGAUAACCAGCAGUACUACUAUAAUUGGAAUUCUUCCAAGCCACUAAGAACUGAAAGCAUCUGUACUCGCGGUUAUACACCCCCACUUUUAACUAUGAUGGAUCCCAAAUCACCCUACAAAGAGGGCACAGAAGGUGAUGGAUUUUUGCUAGAUCCUGCUAUGUUCACAGUAAGUGACGAUCUUGUUGUUGCACCAAUAUCGCCUGUCUCAGAACUAUCCUUACUGGAAAAAUUGAAGAUACCAUUUAAUGACAUCUAUGUCUGCGAGGUUCAAAUUGGAAGAGAAGAGGUAAGUCAAACUAACUAAUUUCUGCACUCUCUUAUUAUCCAUGAUAUUUAAUAUUUAUUAUAAAGCUCUUAAGAAAAAUCAUGCCCGUCAACUUCAUGCUAUGUCUUUUUAAUUUUGUUAAGUUUAUUUAUUUUUUAUUCUAUUUAUUCAACCAAACAGAUUUAUAGGAUAGAAGUGGCAUAAAAACUAUUUUACCUGUUCUUCUAAGAUCCUUUUUUUGUUAAUGUCAUUUGUUAAAAUUCGCAUCAUAUAUAACAGUCUUCAAACAGGAAUAUUGGUGUGAUGGGCAUUUUUUUUUUCUGCUGCAGGCUUCCCGUCUCUUAGCAGCUUCUUUUGUAUCUGAAUCUGCUCUUACUGAUCUUCCUACGUAAGAUGCCUUCAUUUCCGAUGUUCUGAAAGAAUAAUCUUGAGGACAUCUGUGUGCUUAAUUGAUCAAGUAUAUUUUCUGGUCAUCUUGAACCUGGUUUUUUAUUAAUGUGAUAGAUAGUCUGUCAUGUAAGUCGAAUUAAGGUGCUGCUUUUGCUUCAUAAUACCUAAACUAUAGUUGUUUUCUCUUUUGACUCGUUACUUGGGCGUAUAUAUAAUUGCCUGGAAACACAAUUUAGAAAGGGCUUACAGUUUCAGACAAGAUUAAUUUGACUCCAAAUUGGUAGGCAGAGAGUAUCUUGAACCACACCGAAUAAAACUCUCACUUGGUGGCAAAGCAUACACUAGAAAUUAUGCCUUCGCGAGGAAACACAGUUUUUUUAAAAGUUCUAAAUAUCUAUUCAGCGUUCCUGCUAUCUCCUUCUGCAAUCUAUGAUGAAGUCUCAAACAGUAUUUUAAGUUGGUCUGGACUAUUUUGUAAGCUUUUCAUAACGAAUCAUUAAUUAAUUGAAUGGCAGCAUCAUGAAAUGUAAUCAUCAGGCUCCCUCGUAACAAUCAGCUGUCCCAUUGGGGUGACUUGCACCACCUUUUCGACUAUAGAUUCAAAAUAACAAAUGCCUUCAAUCAUAAAAAUCGGAAACAUAACUAUGCCGGUGGAAAUCCACAACAUCGAUGCCUUGGUACUUCAGUGUAUGUAAAACAUAUUUGGUGAUAUACGGAAACAGAAACUUUCAGAUCAGAUAACCUGAAUCUCUUACUUGGAAAUUGUUUAAAAUUCCAAUUAAAUCGCAAGGCAAUGUUAUCUACUCCAAAUUGUCAUUUUCUAUUCUUAAUAAAUUUCUAGUUCAUUUACUGAGCAUAUUUAGGUUUUUGAUACGAAGGAAUUUCAAAACUGGGAAAUAAUCUGUGUUUUUCUGCUGUUUUUUAAAAACUUCGCAGCCAAUACUGUGUAGUUAUUGUCCUGAAACUUCUCUGUAGUGCUACAGCCAGAAGGCCCAGAACAUAAGAUAUAUCAUCUCUUCCCUUUCUAGUUAUUGUUGUCAACAAUACGAAGCUAUAACCCAAGCCUCAGGGGCUGGAACUUUACAUUGCUGCCAUACCGUUCAUUUACUUGUACCACUACCUGAGACAGAGAAUCGAAUAUAACUACGAUAUGGAUUUCUCUGUUUCAGUGAUUGAUCUCCCCAGAACAUCAUUGUGCUGCAUGCUUCACAUCUUUGGUAGCUUCCUUUAUCGAUCUGCGAAAAACCCUUGGCCAAUAUUCCUUCAUCAGCAAAAACUUGAGAAUAGUUUUCAUUGGUGCUGGUUUUGGUUUUUUGUUUCUUUUGUGUGCGCGCAAAAUUUGGAAGCUAUGAGCAUAGGUACAUGAUUAAGAAUAGUACAUUUAAGAUGUUGAAUGAAUAGCAAUGGUAGAUGAGUCUAGUAAACAUAUCAUUAUACAAUAUAUUUCUAUUGGCUCAAUUUACACAUUCUCAUUGCAUAUACAUGCGCCAAGGGCUAGUGGAAAAUCCAGGGAAAUGACUCUGCCUUUUCAGGUCUCGAGUAAAUAAUGUCUCUGGUCCUAGUCUAUAAAGAAGGCUGUUCACCAUGGAUCUUUCUCCAAGGCUGUUUCUGCUUUCAGGUUUCGAAUUUUGGUACGAUGCAUGACAAUUUAAGUAAGAAGCAAUUAGAUAAAGGAUUUCUGUCUUUAAAUUCCUGUUCUAUUCUUGAGGAUUGUAAAUGUUGGGGAAAUAGAAAGUACUAUUAAACAUUAAUUCGCAAUUAUGACUGAUAUUAUGAUUCCCCCAAUUCAUAGCAUGACCCUAGCUGUUAGAACAAUCUAUAGGUGUUUUUGUUGCAGGCUUCACGUCUCUUGGCAGCUUCUUUGAUUUCUGAAAUUUGCGCAGAGUAUGAACUAAGCCUCUUCAGGGCCCAAAUCAAGGUAUCCAUUCCGAAUCUCAGGCCAAAACAAAAGAAUAUUUUGACUUCAUAUCUCGUAACUAUAAGUUAUACAAUCAAAUAGGUGCACGCUUUGGAACACACAAGGAACAAACCAGUUUGAGAAAGGAUCGAAGCAGGUGCUAGAUUGAUACACAGUAGUAGUGUAUGAGCUUCUGGAAUUUGUCAAGUUACAAACACUAUUAAGGUGGUCUAGUCUAUUUUUGUGCUUCUUGUAAUGAAAUUGAACUGCACGGUGAAAUGGUUUCUCUGCAGCACCACCUGUAAUCAUCAUGUUCACCUGUAAUCAUCCAUGCCGUUCAAGCAACUAAAGGAUGCAAAAUGGUCGCUCCGCCUUUUGAUUUCCUGUAUUUUAAUUUCUGGCGUUGAGGGCUUCAUAUCUCUGAAUUGGCAGUGAGUCACUAGGCAAUGCUUCACUCGUACAAACCUGAAACAAGAACUAUAGAUUUUAUAAGUUAACUGUUUUUUUUUUAACUUAGUUAAGAUAACCCGGAUUGACUUGAACUUUUUUCUCAAAUCGUAUCCUUUCUCGAAGUUGAUAUUUUUUUUUCAUUUCUAUCUUUUAGGAUUUAGUUAUUAGGCUCUUUGUGAUUUUUUUUGCUUUUUUUUUAUGUGGGAUUAUUAUAAGUUGCGGGUUAGUCAAGUUAACUUAAGUAAAAUUUAGUUUUUUUUAUUGAUUUAUCUUAGGUCUUUUUUUUUUCUAGGCCUUUUAAAAAAAUAGUUUUUUUUUCAUAUUGUGGAUCAUGUGGUAGUCGAGUUAACUUGGUUUUUUUAUAUUUAUAUUUUUUUAAAAAAAUUUAUUUCAUCCUUUAACAUUAGAUUAUUGUGCCUUGAGCUUUGUGAUUCUUUUCGAUUUUUUUUUUGUUGGGUUAUCCCAAAUCACAAGUUAGUCAAGUUAAUCGGGUUGACUUGACUUUUUUUUUUAAUGUUUUUUUAUUGAUUUAACUUCAGUCUCUCUAAAAGCAUUUUCUUUUUAUCUCGGAAUUGCAUAAAUGGUGGUAGAUUUGUUAAGUUAAUCAAGGUUGACUCGAGUUAUUAUCUAUCGCCUAGACAUCUUUUUUUUAUAUUGGAAAAAAAUUGACUCGUCCUGUAGGGUAGUGUGGGCCACCCAUCUAGUAUAAAACUAAAAAAAAAGAGGGUUUCAUUGUAUUCCUCCUGGCAUAAGACUAUUCACUUGGAUAUUGUUUUUUUUUUUUUUUACUUCCCUAGUUUUUCCUUUUGAUCUAUAUAUAUAUAUUUUUUUUAAUUUCAUCAUUUAAUGUUAGGUUUAUUUUGGAUUAUGCUUCAUAUUUUUUUUAAUUUACUUUCUAUGAGAUUAUCCUAAAUUUAUGACUCGAAUUACAAGUUUAUAUAUUAACUCAUUUGACUCAAAUUUUUUUCUUAUUUUCGUAUGUCUUUUUUUUCAUCUUAAAUUUGUCUUUCAAAACUAGGUUGAUUGGGGAUUAGGAUUCGUUAUUUUAUUUUGUUCCACUUUCUAUGAGGUUAUUUCCAUUUUAUAACUUGGGUCACAGGUUAACCUUGGUUGACCUAAGUUAUUUUUUUAUGUUUUUUUUAAUUGAUUUUUUUUCAAUUUCAUCUUUUAAUAUUGAGUUGAUUUAAAAUUGGACUAAAUAAUUUAUUUUGAUUUACUUUCUAUUAUGUUAUCCUGGUUUCAUGACGUGAAUCACAAGUUUGUCAGGUUAACCAAAGUUGACUAAAAUCAUUUUUUUUAUUUUUUAAUUAAUUGUUUUUAAGUUUCAUCCUUUAACAUUGAGUUUAUUGAAAAUUAAACUUUCUAAUUUGUUUUGAUUUAUUGUUCAUGGUGUUAUUAUGAUCUUAUGACUUAGUAUACAAGUUGAUAGGUUAACUCGAGAUGACUCGAAUCGAUUUAAUAUAUUGUUCUCUCGAUGUUUAUUAAAAACAUAUCACUUUAAAUAUUUAUUUUGAAUCAAAUUAUAUUUUUAUCGGUUUUCUGAAUUGUAUUUAGACUCGUCAAGACGACCAAGUCACUUCAGAUCAAUCUCCAAACAAUUUUAUUUUUUACUAUUAGAAAAAAUUUAAUCUGACUCGCAGUGUAAAGCAGGGCAAUUAUCUAGUAAUAUUUAAAAUACAUCCUUAAUUAAUCUAAUCUAAGAAAAAUAUAUUUUUUUUUAAUAUACUAAAUAUAUUUUAAAUAAUUUUAUCUUCAACAAGUUAGAUAUAAGGUGUUGGAAAAAAGAUUUUUUUUAAGAAAAAAGGCUAAGGGAGCAAACGAGCAUGGAAGAUUGAGCAUGUCAAUGCCAUGAAAAAAAAAAAAGGCGCAUGGGCUUUGCCAAUACAAGCUCGUGUGUUUGAUUUUUUUAUUAUUUUUUUGGAGUUGACAAAGUCAAAUUCAUGUUAUUUUUAAAGGAUGCAAUCAUGUUGUCUAAAGGUCAAAUUCAGGUUAUGCAAGGUGAUUUAAAAAAACAUGGGAGAUUUUUUUUUUUGAUAAAAAAACUUAAUUUUUCAUUCAUUUUUAUUUGAAAAUACCUUAAAAAACAUUCUUUAAACCUUAAAUAAUUAAUUCCUCAAUUCAAGAUUUCUCAAAUUGAUUUAAAAACACAAAAUUAAAUAAAACAUAAAAAACCUCAGCCAACCCUAAUUUAUUUUUUUAGGUGAUAAGAAAACACUACAAUGAAAAAUUUUCCCCACAAAAUUGGACCACCCAAUAUCCUUUUCUCUCUUGUUGUUUUAUGGCUAUCCUCUCUCUUCUCUCUCAAGCUAACGGACCAAAACAUGAAGAAAAUAAAGCACCGGACCAAAGUGUAGAAACUUAGAAAAUAGGGAUCAAGAUGAAAAUUUUUAAUUCUUAGAGUCUGAAUUAUGUUUAAUGAAAAAAAAUUGAAUUUGAUAUCGUCAGAUAUCAAUUUAAAACCCAAACUUUUUUAAAAAUAUUUCAAAAGACCCUUGCAGAAUUAACUGAGACAAAUAAUAUAGCCCAAUCUAAAAUUAGCUAAACAUAGAAUGAUCAAAUUAAGAAAAAAAAAAUUAAGUGGCAAAAUAAAACAGAGCAAAUACUAUGCGAAUCCAUAUUCCGUCUCACAUAUUACACACAAUGAAAGGUUGAUGUCUUUUAUUUUUUUAAUUUAAUGAAAAUUUAGAAUAUAAUAUAAUAUAAUAUAAUUUAUAAUUAUAAUUGUAAUGCAUGUAACAUAAUUUAAAUCAGCACAAUGAUUUGAUCCUCGAAAAGAAAUUUUGCCAAACGGAGCAUAAUUGAUUAACAGAGCCCAUGAUUAAAUUUGGUCACAGCUCAUGUGAAAGUUUAUAUGCAAUGACAUGUUUGGCAAUGGAUAAUGGGCUAGAAUACAUACAGAGAGCAAUCGACAUUUUACUUUCCUCCUGUUACUUAGAGCAUCUCUAAUGAGAAAUGCUAUAUUAAAUAGCCAAAUAAAAAAAAUGACUUUUUGAAUAAUGUAAAUAUAACUUUUUAGAUCAUGUGCAUUCCAAUGGCAAAAAGCUAUUUAGAAAAGCCAUUUAUAUUUUAAUAUAUUUCAUGUUAAAUUAAUUUUAAUAUAAUUAUAUAACUAAUUUAGAUAUUUUAUAUAUAAUAUAAUUAUGAUGUUAUUAAUUAUAUAAUUAAUAUGAGUAAUUUAUAAAAGUAAUAUAAAAUUAAUGAAGUAAUAUGAAAGUUAAAAAAUAUAAUUUAAAAUUUAUUUAUAUGAAUAUUUUUAAUUUUAAGUUUUAUAUGUUAUUGUUAAAAAAUUAAUUUUUUAAAAGUAAAUUCAAAUUCAAACUUUGAAAAAAUGACCGCCAACAUUUUAAAUUUUAAAAUUUUAAAAUUUGAAAAAAUAACCGCCAACAUUUUAAAUUUUCAAAUUUCAAAUUUUGAAAAAAUAACCGUCAACAUUUUAAAUUUUAAAAUUUUAAAAUUUUAAAUUUUGAAAAAAUUACCGCCAACAUUCUAAGAUUUUACAAUUAGAAAAAAUAGUUCAUCUAUAAAUAUUCUCAUAUAUCUUAACAUUUUUUCUCAUCAUUUUCUUCUCUUCAAUCUUUGUUAUAUUUCAUUAAAAUUCAUCAUGAAUCAUUCUAAUUUUAAUUUUUAUGAUGCUUUUGAUUUUGAUGAUGACACUCCUGUGUUGGCUUUUCAAGUUGCUACUGUUGUGGUUGCUGAAGAAGAAUCGAAUAAUCAAGGGCGGAGAACAGGGUAUCGUGGCUCUAUUCCUGGUCACAAUAUUGUCAAUCGUAAUAGAAAGGAAGGUGAGUUAAGGUUAUAUAAUGAUUAUUUUGCAGAAAAUCCUAAAUUCACUGAAAGUCAAUUUCGAAGAAGAUUUAGGAUGAGUCGUCGUCUUUUUCUUCGGAUCGCAAAUGCAGUGGAAGCUCAUAAUCCAUAUUUCAAACAAAGGACAGAUGCUCUUGGUGUUCUUGGUUUAUCUUGCCUUCAAAAGGUAACUGCAGCUCACAGAAUACUUGCAUAUGGUAUUCCUGCAGAUCUUACUGAUGAAUAUCUUCGAAUUGGAGAAACCACUGCGAUAGAAAGUCUUAGAGCUUUCGGCAAAGCAAUCGUAGAAUUUUUUGGUGAUUGGUAUCUAAGGACACCAAACGAGGUCGAUCUUUGUCGAUUAUUAUCAAUUGGAGAGCAGCGUGGAUUUCUAGGGAUGUUAGGGAGCAUUGACUGUAUGCAUUAGAAAUGAGAGAAAUGCCCAAUUGCAUGGCAUGGGAUGUAUACUGGUCAUUGUCAUGAACCAACUAUAAUUCUAGAGGCGGUGGCUUCACAGGAUCUUUGGAUAUGGCAUGCCUUUUUUGGAAUGCCUGGAUCAUUAAAUGAUAUUAAUGUUCUUGAUCGGUCACCUAUCUUUGUUGUACUUGCUGAAGGUCGUACUGCUCCUGUCAAUUAUACAAUUAAUGGACAUGAAUAUACAAUGGGAUACUAUUUAGCAGAUGGAAUUUAUCAUAAUUAGUCAACUUUUGUUAAGACAAUCCCAAGAUCAUUAGGAGCAAAGAGAAAAUAUUUUGCAAGCAAGCAAGAGUCUGUAAGAAAAGAUGUGGAGCGGGCAUUUGGGGUGCUCCAAUCUCAUUUUACAAUUAUACAUGGACCUGUUCGAUACUGGGAUGAAGAAACACUUGCAUAUAUUAUGAAAGCUUGCAUAAUAAUGCAUAAUAUGAUUAUUGAGGAUGAAGGAGCAAUGAACCUUGGAUUUGACCAUGAACAUGAAGUCAAUUCCUUUAUAUCAGUGUCACAUGGUGAAAUACCAGAACUACAUGAUUUUCUUCAAACUCAUAAUCGAAUUAGGGAUAGAGCAACUAGCUCUCAACUACAAGAAGAUUUGAUUGAACAUUUGUGGGAACAAUAUGGCAACGAGUAGAAUCUUUAGAUUUGAACUUCUUAUGUUAUCAUAAUUUUCAAGUUUUUUUAUGUUUUUUUUUCAUUAUGUUUGUUAUCUUUUAAGUUAAUUAAUCCUACUUGUUAUUGUUAAGUGUUAGAGGAACUUUAAAAAAGUAUUAUGAAUUGAUAUCAAUUUCAUAACAAUGUAUUUAAAAUAACAAAGAAUUUUCUACAUAUUUAAUUAAAAAUACAUUACAUUACAAUAAAUCAAUCAAAGUUAAUUAAAAAUCAAAACCCCUCUUUUGCAUAAUUUCUAACUUUUUAUUUUGAAAAUACACUGCAGAAAUUGGAUCCAAAUUAGAAACAUCCAUUUUCAUAGUUUGUUCUUCUUUUUCAAUCCUGUCCAAUUCUUGUUUCUCUUGAUUUUGUUGAAUCAUCAUGGCUUGUUGCUCUAACAUAAUUUUCCUGUUUUGUUUCUUCUGAUCCUCAAUUUCAACUAGAGUAUCCUUGAAUUGUUGUAAGAGAUUCGUUACAGUUACAUCCCCAACUUUAUAUUUUCCUUGUCUAUGUUUAAGUCGUUCCUUUGCAGCCUUUUGACCGAUUGGUCUAUCUUGAUAAAUCAAUGGUUCACUAUCUUCUCCUAAACUAACAGAAUCCGGAGUAGAUGGAGUUGAUGAAGCUGGACUUGCAUUGACAUGAUCUUUUUGUUUCUUGUUUGACCUUUGAUGUUGACUUGCACGCUCAAAUUGUCAUUUGGGUUCUUUUCUUAAGAUAACCCAACAAUAUUCUAGUUGAAAUCGUUUGCCAACGCAAGAAGCAUACAUUUGCCGAGCAUCAUUAAUUUGGUAAAUAAAUAAAUAAAUUAAAUAAUGUUAAAUAUAUGUUAAACAAUUUAACAUAGAAAUGAAUAUUAACAUUACCCUUGAUUCUUCGAUCAUUCCACUUUGCUGACGAUUUUCAAUUUGAGUAACAAAUCCAACAAAUUUACCGACUUCUCUAUUUAUUUCUUGCCAUCUACUUGAGAUGCUUAUUUGUGAACGAUUAUUCAAGUUUCCUCCAUUCUCUACAAAGUAAGCAUGUACGCGAGCCCAAACUGUUUUGUUUGUUGUUCAACUCCUGUAAUUGGAUCCUUGCUUGUAUUUAGCCAUGCAGAGACAAGUAAACAAUCCUCCUCUGGUGAGAAAUUUUUACUUCUUUGUGAUUUUUUUGCCGAAUGGACAUUUAAAUUCGAGUAUGUUAAGUCAUCAAUUAAUUGAUUAGAAUCACUUGGUUGAGAGAGAAUAUCUUCUGACUCACUCAUAAGAAAGUUGGUAAAAGAGCUUGGAAAAUUUGAAUCCAUCUACAUUAAAAAAAAAAAAAACUCAAGUUAAAACCUUAUAAGAGAGUGUAAAAGAAGCUCACAUUCAAUGUCUAGCAAUUUUGUAGUUUUCAUAUCGAAUUAAUAAUAAGCAUUGCCUCCUACUUGUUCUAACAUAACAAUUUGACCAUUUUUUGGAACUAAAAGAGAAUUGAUAUACUGGUUUAAUUGCAUUUUCAACAAGACAAAAUAUAAUUGACCUCAAAUUAAAACAGACAAUCAAAAAUAAAUUUUAAAUAUGUACUCUAUCUUUUUAUCAAUAUCAACUACCAUUAUUAAUUCCUCAAUUUUAUCAAAGAUAACAACAUAAAUAAAAAUUGUCUUCCUUAACCCAUAUUAAAAACAUAAAAUAAUAAAGAAAUAAAACUCAUCAUAAAUAUUAAAUUAACAACAAAAGGUCUAAAAAAUCAAGAGAUAUAAAAAAGAAAAUAGAAAAAUCUUUUAAACAAGCAUACCUUUUAAUUUCAGCUAAUUAACACAACCGAUGUUAAUAAUUAAUCGGAGAAUAAUUGAUUCUUGUUUUUAUAAAUUUGAGAGAAGGGUGAGGCACAAUACAAAAAUGUAAAACUACAAGUUUUGUCUUCAUGUAUUUAUAGAAAAUUUCUUCUAUAUUUAAAGAAAAACAAAAAAAAAAAGAGUUGUUGGCCAACGACUAUAAAAAUAGUCGUUGGCCAACAACUAUCAUUUUAGUCAUUUCUACAGUUAAAUGUAGAAAUGGUUGUCAAGAAAACAAAUAGCCAAAAUAGAUAUUUGUUUAGCUCUUUUGUUGGAAUGCCAACAGUGAAAAAUAAAAGGCAAAUGACGUUUGACUUCUUGUUUUGCUGCUCCGUUGGAGCUGCUCUUAAACAACAAGUUUUAUACCUAUUUUUUUUUUUUUUUUAGUUUAUAAUUUAUUAGUAUUGUUAAAAAAAACUGUGAAAAAACCAUUGGCAAUCAUUUUGUAAAGCCAGCUUCCAGGAUUCAACUUCCUUGUGAAGUUUGAAUAGGGUAUUGAUCAAUAGCAUUAUGACCCCUAAUAAUUCAACUAUAAGACAACCCCACUUGAAAGUGAAAGGUUAUGUGGCUCUUUUUGACCGAAUUCCAUUUAUUAAAUAAGAGAAUAUAACCGAAGCUUACAACAUAGCAGAACCCAUCUCCCUGCACCAGACCAAAACAUUUUAGGAGUUUUUGCAUAGGUUCUUGAUUCUUGAAUACUCAAUUUGUUUAUGAGUUUUUGCACCGAACAUCAUCGUCGGCUAAUUCAAUGGCUAUCUGGUGGAUAAGCUGGUGGUGGCAGGCCUGUGCAUUUGUUUCUUCAAGGAGAGAGUGCUAGGGUUUUAUGGAUGGCAGUGGCUUGGGCUGGUGUGUUGGUGAUGGAAAAGGGUUUUCUGCCUCUCUCUUUUUCUGGAGGAAAAGAAGAGUACUGAGCUGUAACUUCCUUAAUUCAUAAAUGUUUGUCUCCUUGCUUUCGGGAAAGAGAAGCUUUGUGUCACCUUUUACUGUUCUGUUAUUUGAAAACAUUUGAAAAAAGAAAGAGGUUUGGACUGUGUGAAUCUGAACGAACGAACAGUGAACUCAGCACUGUUGAAGAUCAGUCAAGAACAAGUCACAAGCCAGUGCCACUGUGGAAAGAAAAGCAUGUCAAAAGUCAUUUAUCUUGAAUUUCGUGCUUUUUUGAGAUUUUUAUUUUUAACAGCGUUUUAAAAAUUGUAUUUGUUUUAAAAAUAUAUUAAAUCUAUUUUUUAAUGUUUUUAAUAAUUUUCAUAUGCUAGUAUAAAAAAUCUAAAAAAAUUAAAAAUUAUUUUAAUAUAUUAUUUUAAAAGCAGCUUCAUAUAAAAAAAUAAAAUGUGUUAAAACACUCUCAUCACAAAAUGUUAAAAGAAUAUAUCUUGCUGUAAUGAUUAAAGCGAGAUGCAUUACUUAGUAAUGAAGAGUAUGAUUUAUACUGUUUAGAAUUAAGGCUGAUAUUUUUAUUUUAAAAAAAUUUAUUUAUUUUUAUUUUAAAUUAAUUUUUUUCAUGUUUUUAAAUAGUUUUAAUAUUAUAAUAUCAAAAAUAAAAUUUUUUAAAAAUAUUAUUUUAAUAUAACAGUGAAAAAGUGUGGGCUUCCAAACCGACAAAGCAACCUCUAUAUACACUCUUAUUGUGUGUGUGUGAGAUACCAUUAACUAUAAAAGACUACUGUGUUUUAUUUACUCACCAUUGUUGCCCAGAGUCCAUAGCCAACAAUUCGUAUCAGAGCUGUUGCCCAACAUUUGUACCCACAGUUACCACCUCUUGACUCGCUUGAACACCAUUUCAUCUCAAUCCAUGGCAACCAUUAGCUUGAAGGCAUCUGUGGACAAGAAGAGCAACAGAGUUGUAUUUGUUGAAUCUGACGAAUUCUUUGUUGAUAUCCUUUUCAGUUUUUUUGACAAUGCCCAUGGGAACAAUCAUCCAUCUCACCGGUAAUCUUUCACCGACAAAUGGGGUUGUUUGCAUGAACAACUUGUAUAAAAGUGUUGAAAAUAUAGAUGCUAUGUAUUUCCGGACUGAAGCAUGCAAUGACAUGUUGCUACAUCCUUAUAAUGCCGCUGCAGCUUAUUGUAAGAGCCUAAAACUGAAAAUUGAUGACAUUGACACUUCAAGUUCUUUUUGUUGCCAGAGUUCCGAAUGUUCUAAUUCUGGCUACAAGUUGUUGAGUCAUUACAAAAAUCUUUAUUGUGGCUGUGGACGUCCCAUGGGCCGUAUUUUGAAUCUAUCAUGGCGGGCUCCAUCCAAUAGUGGAUCUUACGCAAGAAAUCGAGGGGUGUUUGUUGAAGGACUGACCCGAUUUGUUGUAAGUGAUUGUUUUCAAGUGAUGCCAGCAUUGCUCUUCUUACAGAGCUUGGAGUCAUGGAUACAAGUAACAUCGAGGAGAGGAUUUUUGACAUUGGAGUAACAGAGGUAUGAUCGAAUAAAUGAGCUGUUGCAGUAUUGUCUAGCCUUGUGCUAUGUACAGGCACCCAUUUUAAUGUCUCUGUUUUAGGUGGUUGGAAUUGCUGGAGCGCUCAUUGGUAUCAAGGACACCUCUGACCGAAGUUUUGCUUGCUCGUAAGGAAGUUCCCGAGUUAAGAAAUGAAGAUUCCCUUCAAAGAACCUCUCUUAUGCGUGAAAUACCAGAGCACCAAUCAGAAAUAAAUGGUGAGACGUCUGUUAGGCUUGUGGUUUGCAAAUCCAAGAAAGUGGUAUGUUACGCAGAAGCGUCUAAAGAUUUUGUUGAUUUACUUUUUAGUUUUCUCACCAUUCCACUUGGGUAUUUGAUGAAUGAAAUGCAUGGUGGACAAUCAAAAGGAAGCAUCCACCACCUAUAUGACAGUGUCAUUGAUCUCGAUGCACCGAAAUACCUGAAGUCAAAUGACAUUAAAGAGAUUCUUCUAAAUCCUAAGAUUGCACCUGGUUCUGGCUAUAAGAACCAGCCACUAGGUGUUAAGGAAGCUGUUGAUAACCAGCAGUACUACUAUGAUUGGAAUUCUUCCAAUCCACUUAUAAGAACUGAAAGCAAAAGUCCUGUUGGUUAUACACUCCCACUUUUAACUAUGAUGGAUCCCAAAUCACCCUACAAAGAGGGCACAGAAGGUGAUGGAUUUUUGCUAGAUCCUGCAAUGUUCACAAUAAGUGACGAUCUUGUUGUUACACCAAUAUCGCCUGUCUCAGAACUAUCCUUACUGGAAAAAUUGAAGAUACCUUUCAAUGACAUCUAUGUCUGCGAGGUUCAAGUUGGCAGAGAAGAGGUAAGUCAAACGAACUAAUUUCUGCACUCUCUUGUUAGCCAUGAUAUUUAAGUAAUUAUAAAGCUCUUAAGAAAAAUCAGGCCUGUCAACUUCAUGCUUAUGUCUUUUCAAUUUUGUCUUGAUCAGAACUGUAAGUUUAUUUAUUUUUUAUUCUAUUUAUUCAACCAUACAGAUUUGUAGGAUAGAAGUGGCAUAAAAACUAUUUUACCUGUUCUUCUAAGAUCCUUUUUUGUUAAUGGCAUUUGUUAAAAUUCGCAUAAUAACAGUCUCUUCAAACAGGAAUAUUGGUUUGAUGGGCAUUUUUUUUUCUGCUGCAGGCUUCUCGUCUCUUAGCAGCUUCUUUUGUAUCUGAAUCUGCUCUUACUGAUACCUUCCUACGUAAGAUGCCAAAAGAUGCCUUAAUUUCCGAUGUUCUGAAAGAAUAAUCUUGAGGACAUCUGUGUGCUUAAUUGAUCAAGUAUAUUUUCUGGUCAUCUUGAACCUGGUUUUUUUAUUAAUGUGAUAAAAGUCUGUCAUGUGUAGGAGUAAUAUUGAUUCUCAAGACUUCAUGUAAGUCGAAUUAAGGUGCUGCUUUUGCUUCAUAAUACCUAAACUAUAGUUGUUUUCUCUUUUGACUCGUUACUUGGGCGUAUAAUUGCCUGGAAACACAAUUUAGAAAGGGCUUACAGUUUCAGACAAGAUUAAUUUGACUCCAAAUUGGUAGGCAGAGAGUAUCUGAACCACACCGAAUAAAACUCUCACUUGGUGGCAAAGGAUGCUAAUUUCUUGUUUGGAACGUCUCGUGCAUGGUUGCUUCUUUUAUCUCUGAAUUGGAGGUCAGUCAAUAAAAAAUGCCUUCAGCCAUAAAAACUGGAAACGAGAAUACUUGGAUCUUCAUAGAUAUUCUCCCCUUUUCUUCUUUUUUUCCGAUGAAUGAGUAAAAGGAGUCUUAUAAGCAAAACUGAACUAUACCUGUGGAAAUCCACAACAUCGAUGCCUUGGUACUUCAGUGUAUGUAAAACAUAUUUGGUGAUAAAUGGAAACAGAAACUUUCAGAUCAGAUAACCUGAAUCUCUUACUUGGAAAUUGUUUAAAAUUCUGAAGAAUUUUGAAGCAGAGAAGAGACGUGAGACAAUGCAGUAAAACAGAGUUCUGCAUUAUAUUUUCUUAUGCUGUACAUAUGCAUAUAUAUAUAUAUAUAUUUUUGAAGCAGAGAAGAGACGUGAGACAAUGCAGUAAAACAGAGUUCUGCAUUAUAUUUUCUUAUGCUGUACAUAUGCAUAUAUAUAUAUAUAUAUAUAUAUAUACACAAAAGGAAAAACUUGAAGCAAGGAAAGACAAUCCUGCGUAUCCGUUCUCCUAACAAUAUGCUAAUAUUAUAUGUUAAUAAUAAAUACACAAUCAUAUCUAAACUAGGUAACAAAUAAGUUAUACUUGGUAAUAGCAUAAUAAAGAAGAUCUUCAUCGCUUCAGUAUCUUCAAUACUCCCUCCCCUCAAUCUGGAUCCAGUGGAUUGGUGGAUCCAAGCUUGCUUAAUAACCGAUGAAAUUGAGUGAAAGGUAAGGCUUUGGUAAGCACAUCAGCUAGUUGAUCAUGAGAUCGUACAUACUGAGGAUGGAUAAGUUUAGCUUGAACUUGCUAAUGAAUAUAAUGAGAAUCUACUUCAAUAAUCUGUAUUUUUCUACUGUUUUUGAAAAACUUCGCAGCCAAUACUGUCUAGUUAUUGUCCUGAAACUUCUCUGUAGUGCUACAGCCAGAACACAAGAUAUAUUAUCUCUUCCCUUUCUAGUUAUUGUUGUCAACAAUACGAAGCUAUAACCCAAGCCUCAGGGGCUAGAAACUUUACAUUGCUGCCAUACCAUUCAUUUACUUGUACCACUGCCUCAGACAGAGAAUGCAGAAUGCAUGGGGUAUCGAGUUGUCUGUGUUAUAAGUACAUGGUUUUAUGACAAUCCGAAUAUAACUACGAUAUGGAUUUACAUGUUUCUGUGAUAAGUAUAUCCAAUUCCUCUAGUUUAUCCCUUUUUCUUUUUCCUGUCUAUUUCUGCGGGCUUUCCGUCUUAUGGUAGCUUCUUUUGUAUCGGAAUCUGCUCUGACCGAUGUCUUCAUCCCUAACAGCCAAAAGAUGCCAAAUCCGACCAUUGCCGAUGAUCCAGAUGAGCAUUUUUUAAGGCAAUGCAGUGUUAAAUUUAUCCUUUGUAGUUUGGUCUUGAACCACAAUUUUGCUUGUGAGGAUGUUCGCAAAAGUAGUCUACUGCAAGAGGUUAAUAUAAUAUGGACUCAAUCUAGAUGUUCCAAGCCUCUAACAAUAUUAACAUAUUGAUUUCUUAACAGCUUUUGGAACUGCCUUGAGCUUUCAUGGCAGACAAUUAAGUUGAUUCCUUGUUUUUUCAACUGUAAUUUGGUAUUCCAGCGUAAGUUUUUGUACGACAAGGGUGAGUUCACAGGUCUCUUCUCGAUGAUUCUCAUGAUGAAUUAUCGAAUCGCGGGAAAGAUAGAGCCUAAACAUAGCAAUAAUUUAACUUCAGAUCUUAAAAAUCAGUUCAAAAGCAGCAGGAAACAAUAGACAGACAGGUAUCUAUCGUGCAUUUGAGCUAGGAACAAAAUGGCCUGUCUGCACAAAAAGAAAAAGGCCUGCCUGUCAGGGCAACAUUGCCGUGCCCAAGUUACCAUGGUGGGAUGCUGCAUUCUCUGUCAGAACCAAAUUACUUAAAUUUGAUAUUUUUGUCAGGUUAGUUCCUGGAAUGUGGCUUUGCUAGGCCUACGUGUGACCUUAUUGCCAUUUUUUUAAAAAUACUAAUAAUGUUUUUUUAAAACUUUAUUAAUAAUUAUACAAAUAAUACUAAUAAUAAUAAUAAUAAUAAUAUUUUAAUUUUCAAAUCAAAUUUUGGUUAUUUUUCAACAAUCAUAAUAUUUUUUUUAAUUUAAUAAUAAUUAUAAUAAUAAUAAUAAUAAUAAUAAUAUUUACAAUAUUAAUAAUAAUAUUAAACUUGUCUAACCCAAGUUCUUAUAGUUUUUAAUCUCUUCAAAUUGAAUUUAUGGUUUUUUUAUAGUAAUAAUAUUUUUUUUCAAAUUUAAUAAUAAUAAUAUUUUUAAUUUUACCCUUCAAAUCAAAUCUAUGUUUUUUUUAAUAGUAAUAAUAUUUUUUUAAAAAAAUAUUAAUAAUUAUAUUAAUAAUAAUGAAAAUAAUAAUAUAAAUAAUAAUAUUAAACAUAUCUAGCUCAAGUUCUUAAUUUUUUUAAUUUUACCAUUCAAAUUAAAUCUAUGGUUUUCUUCAAUAGUAAUAAUAUAUUUUUAAAAAAAUUUAAUAACAAUAAUAAUAAGAUUCAUAUUCAUUUAGUAUGACAUCCCCUACCAGACUCGAGUAGCUUGAGUUUAAUGCCUCUGCCAGAUCCAAGUUAUUUGGGUCUGUUGGUACUAUAUCCAAAUUCUUUAGUUAUGGCAUCCUCUGUCAGACCCAUGACGUCUAGAUCUAACAACCUUUCCAAAUCCAAGACAGUGUGGUCUCACAGUCAUGUCUAACCUGAGUGUCUAGAGUAUAGUUGCGUUGCCAGACUCGAGUGUCUGAGGUCUGGCAGACAUAUUUGACCCCAGUGCUAAGUAUUUGACAGCCGUAUCAUUCCCUAGCGCUUUAGAAAAACCCAAAAAAAAACCAUUUUGUCCCUAAUUAUUCUCUUAAUACCAAAUAUAUCUCAUAAAAAAGAGAAUCUCAUCCUCAACUACAUGCUUAUCAAGUUUCUUUGGUAAUAAUAAUUACAUCAUUAAACCAAUUCAAUUCAUAGUGAUCUGUCUUGAUGAAUAGUUAAACACUAAUUUCUUUUAAUAUAUUAUAUAAUAUUUACAAUAUAAAAAAGAACUAAAUACAAGGGGAAUAGUAAAAUACGAGAAAUAAUUAAAAAAACAUGAAAGUAUUUUUGUCAUUAUUUCGCGGAUCCUAGUGUUAUACUCUCUCUUUUCACUACUUCUAUCUCUUUUGUAGUUAUUACAGUUAUAAAUUUUUCCAUGUUUCCAUGGCCUGACGACGUUUACUACGAGGUGAAAAUAGCGAGGCUGAAACUUCAUGGGAGCAGGUGUUAAGUGGUAUGCUUUAAAGGUUGAAAAUUAUUUACAACUGUAAUCUCGCAAAUCAUGUUUGGCUGCAUUUAUGCACAAAAGAGCAAAAACACGAAAAUACUUGAAUUUAUCAAUCAUUAUUAAUAGAAAUUAAGCCUUUUGUUAUUUUCACUAUAGCUGAAAUUAUUGUUUAUUCUCUUAUAAAUAAUUGUAGAUUGAAAUUCUAAUUUUUUAAAAAUUUUCAAUUUGAUUCUCGAACAUUUUCUUUACACAAUUGAGCUCUUUUGAACUUGAAUUAGCAUCCAAUUACAUGUUUUUUUUAAUAGGAUACUAGAUUGAAAGAUAAAGGACCAAAAUAAAAAGGACACGAAAAAUAGAUAGCGACUUUGAAUUUGAUACAAAAAAAUUUAUUUUGGUCCCUUAUAUUUUUCAUUUUACAAGUGGUAGAUCCCUUUAGUUUUUAGGAAUUUAAUUUUGAUACCAAAAUUAAUUUCUCUAAUUUUUUUGUUCUUUUUUACAAGAGGAGAAAGAGAUCGCCACUUGAUUCCUACAAAGAGAGAAAAAGUGAUUGUUGACAACAAUAUAACCACCAAAAUGAUUGAAAUUGGUGCUACUGAGUUCCAUUUUCAUUUCAUUUGAGAAUUUUUAUUCAAAUAUUUUUUUUUCUUCUCCUUACUUGAUGAGAUAGAUCUGAUCGUGAGAAUGUUUUUGGAUUCAGGUUGAUUUUGGUUAUUUGAGUUGUUUUUUGGGUUUUAAAAGGAUAUGGAUAGGAUUAUCAAGGUGUUUAUUAUGUUUUUUUUUUAUCAAAAAUAUGUUGAAAAUGAGUUUUCAAAUAAAAAAAACCAACACUCGGUUUUUUCAGCCUUUUCUGGUUUCCAGAUUCUGCACAAAUCAGACGACAAUCUUAUUUAAAAAAAAAAAAAAAACAAAGCUAGGUCCAAGAGCCCGAGUUAGAAGGCUCAUAUGCUUGGGCUAAUGUUUUUUUACCAAUGUGUCGUGGCUUCCUUUUUUUAAAAAAAUAUUGUUAUUUUCUAUCUGAUUUAAAAAAUAAUAAUACAAGAAAUUAUUGAACUUAAUUGAGAUCAUGAACUGGGUUGUAGGUUACAUGGUUCAUCUACAACAUUCUAUCUUCUUUUUUGUACCAUAAUUUAAAAAAAAAAAUCCACCCUUUAUUAUUGAUGAUCCAUUUUUUUAUUUAGCUAAAAACUAAAAAAAUAUAAUUUCAUUAUUUAUUAUCAAUGAUCUACUCUUUUUUUUUUAUGACCCUGGGUGUCCGGGCCAGCUUACGCGCACUACAACUAAUCCCAGGGCCUACUGAACAUCCUGCAAGCCUAGUAGGCAGGUAAGGCACCGCGGGGGUGACAGGCUGGUACUCUUGAGGAUCGAACCCAGAACAUUCACAAAGACAAGCCUUGCAGUUGACCAAUGAACUAGACUCUCAAGUGUAUCAAUGAUCUACUUUUGCUAUAUCAGCAACAUGCGUCUAGCAUGAUUCUUUUCCUAUUAAAAAAAUAUUUUAUAUGAAAAAAUUCUCAUGCGCUUUAUUAUCGUACAAUUAAAUAAAAAUAAUAUUUGGUGUAAAAAAUUUAUUGAAUCUAAUGACAUACAUGACUUGCAUCACGAAUUUAAUUGAUUGACUGGAGUUUACUUGGUAUUUUUUUAAUUAAGUGAUAUUUUUUACCAUUUUCAUCUUUCAACAUUAAGUUAAUUAGAGGUUGAGCUUUUUAUUUUGGUUUUUUCAAGAUUAUUCAUGCAACUCUUGUAUGUCAAUUGAUGUUAAUGCAAUGCAUUUUUAUUUUAAUAUUAAAUAAAAAUAUAGUUCAAUAUAUGAUUAUAAUCUAUUUCUUUACAAAAUACAUUACCAAUAUCCUUCUACAAAAACUUUAGCUUGCAGCUUCUUUUCUUAUCUCAUUCGUUUAUUUUUAUGAGAAAGACUUGUAGAAAAUGAAAUUUGGAAAUUAGUGGAAGUUUAUCAGUACUAUCAAAUGAGAUUAAAACAUGCCACAUGUGGAGAAGAUGAAGCGAUAAUUAAUUAAUUACCCAAGAACUAUACAAGUUUGAUUGUCCAGUACAUUUCAAGAAACAUGAAAACAACCGUGUGCUGAGAGUUCCAUUGGUCAUCACCAUGGCUAGAUAACUGAGCAAAAGGGAAGGGGACGAAUAGCUAACAGGGAGAGAAUGGGCUUUGGUCUCUAACUCUCUACAAAGUCACAAGAUUCGACUCAUCGUGUUACUGAUUAUCAAAUUAAAAAAUAAAACAAAAUCAUUCGCAACACAACAUUCUUAAUCCACACCACGACAAUGAAUCAUAAGGAACUCUCGCUCUGCACUGCAUCACAAUAGCCCUUUUAAACUGCAAAAUGAAAUCCUGAAGUGUCUAUUAGCAUUUUAGAGACAAGUAAUGCCCCACCUCCACUAUAUGCUUAGUGGAAUACCUAAUCUCCACUAACCACAAAGUGGAGGCAACGAUGGGUAUAAAUCAUGACAUGAUUUAUGCCCUUCACUCUUUUUUGUAUGUUAAUAUAUAUGCUCAGUAAAGAACUGGCGUGUGUGUGUUAAUACUGAGAGAAAAAACACAGAGAACAGAGAAGAGAAAGAGAGCUUGAGUGAUUAGAGUUAAGUUGAGAAGAGUUUCUCCUCCUCCUUAGUUUGUAUUGUGUAUUUGAGUGAUUAAUACAAACCAGUAGCUCCGUGGAGUAGGCAAAUUGCCGAACCACGUAAACUUGUGUGUGUUUGAUCACUAGAAUCGCCCAACAACUGGUAUCAAAGCUUGUUCUUGAAAAAGAGGGUGUUUGAUCCAAACUCAAAAAUCAAAGUUCUCCAAACGUGUUUUUGACAAUACCAUCGUGUAGAGGAAGACCAGACGAAUCCACUGGUGAAAACCCGGCAAAGAACAGACGUCCUGCAUGCCUGCACGCGCCAACACACACCGACGUAAGGACUGCCUAUGCGCACCCACGCUCCUUCUUCGCCCGACUGCUUGUAAUCGGGUCGAGUUGACCCGCCUCGUCAUCCGUCCAGUCAGCAAGUUAGCGUAGUCAACAUCCAUCCAGUCAGCAAACUGGGUCAGCACAUGCCACGUCAUCAAUAAAAAUCGGUAUUCUUCUGCCUUGUCAGCAAAAGAUGGGCCUAGCUUGCGUGUCUGACACGUCAUCAGUUCUGGGUUUUGAUCCAGUGCGAUGCAGGCACUACUCCAGCUGACACGCGGCUUCAUCUGCACCGUCCUUUGAUCUAAAACUUUAAUUGCUAAAAUCUAAGCCAUUUGAAGUUCGAUUUGGGUGAUCUCAGUGUCAUUUCCAACAUUUUUGGUCGAAUUUGGCAAAUUGAAAUUGGAAAAGUAUUAAAAAUGGUAGAUGAAAUAAAGGCUGUUGGAAUUGAAAACUUUGACGGAACAAAUUUUGGAUACUGGAAAAUGCAAAUCGAUGAUUAUUUAUAUGGGAAGAAACUUCAUCUUUCCUUGUUAGGGAGCAAACCAGAAAAUAUACAAGAAGAAAAUUGGUUACUUCUUGAUAGAGAAGUUCUAGACAUUAUCCAGUUAUCCUUAUUAAGAAGAGUUGCUCACAAUGUUACAAAAGAAAGAUCCACUGCAAGAUUAAUGGAAGCCUUGUCCGGGAUGUAUGAGAACCAUCGACAAAUAAUAAAGUGCACCUGAUGAAAAAGUUGUUCAACCUGAAGAUGAUCGAAAACACAUCUGUUACAUAACACCUCAUCAACUUUAAUACCAUCACAAAUCAAUUAUCAUCUGUUGAGAUUGAGUUUGAUGAUGACAUUCGUGCACUCAUCUUGCUAGCUUCACUUCCAAGCAGUUGGGAAGGCAUGAGGACAGCCGUGAGCAAUUCAGCUGGAAAAUCCAAACUGAAAUAUGAUGACAUUCGAGACUUGAUUUUGGCUGAAGAAGUGCGAAGGAAUCGGGUGAAAGUUCAAGCUCAGGAUCAGCUCUCAACAUCAACACUCGAGGGAGGAGACAAGAUAGAGGCUCAUCCAGAGGCAGAUCAAAAUCAAGAUACAGAAGUAAAAGCAAGUUUGGAUCCAGAAAGCAGGUUGAAUGUUGGAAUUGUGGCAAACCUGGUCAUUUCAGUAGGAAUUGCACAAAACCGAAGAAACCUGAAGCUGACUCUGCAAACGCUACCACAGAUGAGGUACAAGAUGCUUUAAUUCUUGCUGUAAAGUCAAAUUGAUGAGUGGAUUCUUGAUUCUGGUGCUUCAUUCCACUGUACGCCACACAAUGAAAUGCUGCAAAAUUAUGUUGGAGGAGAUCAUGGUGUAGUCUAUCUGGCCGAUGGAACACCACUGAAUAUUGUGGGUAUAGGAGAUGUGCAAAUCAAGACAAUGAAUGGAUCUAUAUGGACCUUGCAGAAUGUAAGGCAUGUUCCUGAAUUAAAGAAGAAGUUGAUCUCUGUCGGACAACUUGAUGAUAGUGGUCAUUCAAUACUUUUUGCUGGAGGAAUGUGGAAAGUAUCAAAGGGAGCAAUGGUUUUAGCUCGUGGAAAGAAAACCGGCACCCUGUAUAUGACCACAAGAUUUGCAGACAUCAUUGCCUCAACUGAAGCAGAAAAUCAAGCACAGCUAUGGCAUUGUAGACUUGGCCAUAUGAGUCAAAAGGGGAUGAAGAUACUUCAGUCGAAGGGAAAGCUGCCAGAGUUAAAAAAUGUCGAUCUAGACAUUUGUGAAAGCUGUGUUCUUGGAAAACAGAAGAAGGUCAGUUUCUUGAAGGUUGGCAGGACCUUACGACCAAGAAAGCUAGAACUGGUACACACAGAUUUAUGGGGACCGUCUCCAGUAGCAUCUCUUGGAGGUUCUCGGUAUUAUGUGACUUUCAUUGAUGACUUCAGCAGGAAGGUAUGGGUUACUUUCUGAAAAAUAAAUCUGAUGUGUUUGAAACAUUCAAGAAAUGGAAGGCUAUGGUUGAGACUGAAUCAGGUCUAAAGUUGAAAUGCUUGAGAUCUGAUAAUGGAGGAGAAUACAUUGAUGGAGGUUUCAAGGAGUAUUGUGCUGUCAAUGGUAUCAGAAUGGAAAAGACCGUUCCAGGCACACCGCAACAGAAUGGCGUUGCUGAACGGAUGAACAGGACCAUCAAUGAACGAGCUAGAAGCAUGAGGUUGCAUUCAGGGUUACCUCAAACAUUCUGGGCUGACGCAGUUCAUACCGCAGUUUACUUGAUCAACCGUGGACCAUCAGUUCCUUUGGAAUUCAGACUGCCCGAGGAAGUAUGGAGAGGAAAAGAGGUACAACUCUCUCAUUUGAAGGUCUUUGGGUGUGUUUCCUAUGUUCACAUAGAUUCUGAUGCUCGCAACAAGUUAGAUGCCAAAUCCAAGAAAUGUUUCUUCAUUGGCUAUGGAGAUGAAGAAUUUGGAUUUCGGUUCUGGGAUGAUCAGAAUAGAAAGAUUAUCAGAAGCAGGAACGUGAUCUUCAAUGAGAAAGUUAUGUACAAAGACAGAUCAAGUGAGAAACAGAGAUGGCUGAUUCAGAUACAAGUCCACAAAGAUCUGAAUUCAUAAGAUUAGAAGGGCUUCCCGAUGUUACUAAGCAGAACAACAAUCAAGAGUCUUUACAAGAAGAUUCAAGCACAUCUGUGCCCACUACACACAAGAAGAUGCGGAGCAAUUGAACCAGCUGUUCGCAGGUCUUCGAGGACGAUAAAGCCCCCGCAACGGUUCACACUUUUACUGAAUUAUAUUUUGCUGACAGAUGGUGGUGAACCGCUACUUAUGAAGAAUCCUUACAAGAUGGAAACUCAAGCAAGUGGGAGUUAGCCAUGAAGGAUGAGAUGAGUUCGUUGCUGAAGAACAAGACUUGGGAGCUAACACAUUACCUGAAGGAAAGAAGGCCUUGCAAAAUAAGUGGGUUUACAGAGUGAAGACUGAGCAUGACGGAAGCAAACGGUUCAAGGCAAGACUUGUUGUCAAAGGGUUUCAAAAAAGAAAGGCAUUGACUACUCUGAGAUUUUUUCUCCAGUUGUGAAGCUCACAACAAUCAGAGUUGUUCUGGGGAUAGUAGCUGCAGAAAAUUUACAUCUUGAACAGUUAGAUGUAAAAACAGCAUUCCUUCAUGGUGACUUGGAGGAAGAUAUUUACAUGCAACAGCCAGAGGGGUUUGCAAUGCAAGGAAAGGAGAAUCAAGUCUGCAAGCUACAGAAAAGCCUAUACGGUUUGAAGCAAGCUCCAAGACAGUGGUACAAGAAGUUUGACAACUUCAUGUGCAGUUCCGGGUAUACAAGAUGCCAAGCUGAUCAUUGUUGCUAUGUCAAACAUUUUGACAACUCCUACAUCAUUCUACUAUUAUAUGUAGAUGAUAUGUUGAUUGCAGGAUCCAGCAUUGAGGAGAUUGAUAAGCUGAAACAGCAGUUGUCGAAACAGUUUGAAAUGAAGGAUCUGGGAGCUGCUAAACAAAUACUUGGCAUGAGAAUCAUCAGAGAUAAAGACAAAGGCAUACUAAAGCUCUCACAAACAGAGUAUGUCAAGAAGGUUCUCAGCAGGUUUAGUAUGGAUAAUGCUAAACCAGUAAGUACACCACUGGGGAAUCAUUUCAAGCUCAGCAAAGAUCAGUCACCAAAAACUGAGCUAGAAAGUGGAUACAUGGAUAAGAUUCCAUACGCCUCAGCUAUCGGCUCUUUGAUGUAUGCUAUGGUCUGUACCAGACCAGACAUUGCCCAUGCAGUGGGAGUUGUAAGCCGAUAUAUGAGCAAUCCUGGAAAGCAGCAUUGGGAGGCGGUGAAAUGGAUCAUGAGGUACUUAAAAGGUUCAUCGGAAACUUGUCUUAGUUUCACAGCUGGUGGUUUGAAACUUAAAGGUUUUGUAGAUGUUAAUCUAGCAGGAGAUGUUGAUAGCAGAAAGAGUACUACAUGAUAUGUAUAUAUUCUAGGAGGUACUGCUGUUUCCUGGAGUUUUACCUUUCAAAAGAUCGUCGCUCUUUCAACAACAAAAGUUGAAUAUGUUGCAGUCUCAGAAUCUGCAAAAGAGAUCGUAUGGUUGCAGAGUUUCCUGAAAGAAUUGGGCAAGAUGAAUGGAAAAGGUAUUUUGUAUAGCGACAGUCAAAGUGCAAUCUUCCUUGCCAAGAAUCCAGCAUUUCACUCCAGGACUAAGCAUAUUCAAAUCAAAUAUCACUUUAUCCGACAACUGCUAGACGACGAGCAACUAAUGCUAGGAAAGGUCUGUGGAAGCAAGAAUCCAGCUGACAUGUUAACCAAAAGAGUUACACUUGAUAAAUUGAAGUUGUGUAAAACUUCAGUUGGUUUUCAAGGAUAAAAGAUAAUUUCAUUGUUUGUCUCCAAGUGGGAGAUUGUUAGCAUUUUGGAGACAAGUAAUGCCCCACCUCCACUAUAUGCUUAGUGGAAUACCUAAUCUCCACUAACCACAAAGUGGAGGCAACAGUGGGCAUAAAUCAUGGCAUGAUUUAUGCCCUUCACUCUUCUUUGUAUGUUAAUAUAUAUGCUCAAUAAAGAGUUGGCGUGCGUGUGUUAAUACUGAGAGAAAAAACACAGAGAAUAAAGAAGAGAAAGAGAGCUUGAGUGAUUAGAGUUGAGUUGAGAAGAGUUUCUCCUCCUCCAUUGUUUGUAUUGUGUAUUUGAGUGAUUAAUACAAACCAGUAGCUCCAUGGAGUAGGCAAGUUGGCGAACCACUUAAACUUGUAUGUGUUUGAUCACUGGAAUCGCCCAACAGUGUCUGGUUUGAAUCACCAGGAUGUCAAACCCAACUGUAAAUCUAAAAAGGGGUUUUAGCUUUCUAUCACUUGUUAAUAUCCAGUGGAUUUGUGUUUUUGUUGCAGGCUUCACGUCUCUAGGCAGCUUCUUUGAUUUCUGAAUCAGCUUUAACCGACACCGUCAUCCGUAAAGAGCCAAAAGAUACCUUCAUUUGCAAAGUUACAAACCAAGAAUACUGAGAACAUCUUCGUUUGCGUAAUUGAACAUAAAUGAUGGUCCGGUCAUCUUCAACGUCUUCCAAUCAAUGUGAUAAUCCACCUUUCAUAGCUUUGUAUUGACCCAUGACAUGCCUUGUAUAGGUGGUUCCGUUAGUCUUAUUGACUAUCUAGUACAAGACAUUUGUUCGAUUAGGAACUAUAAUCGUGCAUUGCUUCAGAAUUCCUGGAUGAAUGCAGUUGAAGAAUGGCUCGCUGUUGUUUUCUCUAUUCGACUCAUUCUGGCGCCAGACAGGAAAAUGCAACUAAAAAGGGUCUCCCAUUUCAAACUGGGUCUGAAAUAUACACCAAUACAUUUUUCAGGAAAUGAUAUUUUCCAUAAUCAAAGUUUGCACAGAGUAUGAACUAGGCAUCUUCAAGGCCCAAAUCAAGGUAUCUAUUCUGAAUCUCAAGCCAAAACAAAAGAAUAUUUUGACUUCAUAUUGGAUGCUGGGGUGGGCGAACUCUCGUAGCUAUAAGUUAUACAAUCAAAUAGUUGCACACUUUGGAACACACAAGGACCAAACCAAUUUGAGAAAGGAUUGAAGCAGGUGCUAGAUUGAUACACAGUAGUAGUGUGUCAGCUUCUGGAAUUUGUCUAUUUUUGUACUUCUUGUAAUGAAAUUGAACUGCACGGUGAAAUGGUUUCUCUGCAGCACCACCUGUAAUCAUCAGGUUUAUCUGUAAUCAGCCAUGCCAAUCAAGCAACUACAGGGUGCAAAAUGGUCGCUCCACCUUUUGAUGUCCUGUAUAUUAAUUUCUUACGUUGCAGGCUUCCUAUCUCUGAAUUGGCAGUGAAUCACUAAGCAAUGCUUCACUCGUACAAACCUGAAACAAGAACUUUAGAUCUUAUAAGUUUAACUUCUUCUUUUUAACUAGAGUUUUUUUAUGUUUUUUUUUUAAUGAUUUAACUUUGGUUUUUUUUUCAGGUUUUUUUUAAAAAAAUAUUUUGCUAAUUCAAGCUUGUGUAUUUGAUUUUUUUAUUAUUUUUGAAGUUAGCAAGGUUGUCUUUCAAUUUAUUUUUUACAAACAUGUUGUCUAAAAGGUUAUAUUUGGUUAUGCAAGGUGAUUUAAAAAAACAUGGUUAAACUUUUUUUUUAAAAAAAAAAGCAUAAAAAAAUAAUUGAAAAAAUCAAACUGUGAAAAAAAAAAUCGAUUAUAAUUUUAAAAAAAUAGACCGGUUCGAUUCAGAUUCAAUUUUAUAAGCUUAAAAUAAAAAAAUAAAAAAACCGAACCGAACCCAAACCAAAAAUAACAAGAACAAAACAGAAAAAACCAAGUCAAAACAGUUUGAACCGUUUUUUGUUCUAAAAACCAUAACCGAAACCAAUUUUAAUUUAAAAAAAAAUAGUUUGGUUAUUUUUUUUAUAAAAACAAAACUGAACCGAAAAUACUUACCCCUAAAAGCUUGCUCGAAACACAUGAAUGAUCCCAGUAAGAACACUGUCCACCUAAUAAUUGGUUAAUAUCAUCUUAUUAUUGUAAGCAGCAACAUUGGCAAUCAUUUUCUAAAGCUAGCUUCCAGGAUUCAACUUCCUUGUGAAGUUUGGGGUAAUGAUCAAUAGCAUUAUCAACCGUAACUUUUUAUCCACCAAGUUUUGUCGUCCAUGAAUGUUUGUCUCCUUGCUUUCGGGAAAGAGAAGCUUUGUGUCACUUUUACUGUUCUGUUAUUUGAAAACAUUUGAAAAAAGAAAGAGGUUUGGAUUGUGUGAAUCCACAAACGCAAAUGUAUCUGAACGAACGAACAGUGACCUCAGCAAAUCUUUUAGUGUAUUGUUAGUUAAUAUAUAGCUAAUAUGAGACAGUAAUAAUUUCUCCUCUGUUCUUUUUUUAAUUAAAGCUUAAUUUCAAUGAAUCAAGACAAAACUCUAUCUGCAGAAAUCCUCAACGUUGACGCUUUCAGUAUUUUAGUUUAAGCAACUAAGCAAAAUCCAAUGAGUGGUAUAUUAAACAGAGUUCUCCAGAUUUCAUGAUCGGCCGAGUCUCUACCUCACUUUGACCCUUGCUCAGAGUUCCAAUUAAAUUAUUUUAGGAAACUAUGGUGAUUUGAUGAUGCUUACAUGCAGCUGAUAAAAUUGUUGAUGUAAAUUAUGAAAGCCAGAGUUGAUUCCAAAUGAACAAUAUCGAUCCCCUAAAUAUUAAAUUAAACUACAGCAGUUUCCAAUUCACUGCAAUAUCUACUCUGAGGCAAUCCAAUAGCCAAGAACUUACAAUAGUCGCGUAACCGGUUAGUUAAUUGCUUCGUUCUUGAAAGAAUCUUCCAUUAACUUUGAUUGUCUUUCCAUCUUCUCUUAGCUAGAUUGAAUUUCAUGGCCUUUGAUUCCUGUAUAAACUUGGCAAUCUGUUCCACGCCAGCCAUUGCAGGUGUGUUGAUAAGAUCUUUUGACCUUCGUUUUGCAGUACAAAAGACCGAAUUUUCUUGCUAACAGCUAUAGGGUGUCACUGUUGAAGAUCAAUCAAGAAUUUUCUAGAAUUCCUUAGCUGUUAAGGAAACAUUUGCUGGUGUGAACAAGCCACGAGUCAGUGCCGAUGUGGAAACAAAAGCAUGUCAAAAGUCAUUUAUCUGCAAUUUCAUGUAGAACGAAUAAUCUAUUUGUUUGUGAGUUUUUGCAACAUUGCUAAACAUUGCAGAACCCAAACAUUUUAGGAGUUUUUGCAUAGGUUGUUGAUUAUUGAAUAAUCUAUUUGUUUAUGAGUUUUUGCACCAAACAUCAUCGUCGGCUAAUUCAAUGGCUAGGGUUUUAUGGAUGGCAGUGGCUUGGGCUGGUGUGUUUGUGAUGGAAAAGGGUUUUCUGCCAUUUUUUUUUGUUUUUAAUUGCAUUACAAUUAAUUUUCAAGUUUAUUGAAUAUUUUAUAAGUCCAAUAAAUAUAUAAGAUAUCAUAGGAUCGUAUAUAAGUAAGAUUUAAAUCUUGAUGUGGAAGAAAGAAACAAGUUUCUUUAAUCACUGGCCAAUCUGAUGCGUGCCUUGUUUUUUUUUUCUGGAGUAGAAGAGGAGUGAGCUGUAACAGUUAUAGGGUGUACUGUUGAAGAUCAAUCAAGAAUUUUCUAGAAUUCCUUAGCUGUUAAGGAAUUAUUUGCUGGUGUGACCAAGUUACAAGUCAGUGCCAAUGUGGAAAGAACAGCAUGUCAAAAGUCAUUUAUCUUGAAUUUCGUGCUUGUUUCAGAUUUUUAUUUUUUAAAUUGUAUUUGUUUUAAAAAUAUAUUAAAUAUAUUUUUUAAUAUUUUAAAUAAUUCUCGUACGCUAGUAUAAAAAAUUUAAAAAUUAUUUUAAUAUAUUUUUAAAAAAACACUUUCGUAUAAAAAACAAAAUGUAUCAAAACACUCGUCACAAAAAGUAAAAAGAUUGUAUCUAGUUGUAAUUAUUAAAGCAAGAUACAUUAUUUAAUAACAAAGAACAUAAUUUAUAUUUUUAUUUCUAAAAAAUUUAUUUAUUUUUAUUUUAAAUUUAUUUUUUAAUAUUUUUAAAUAUACUUUUAAACCGACCACGCAACAUCUCUUUCUCUUGUGUAAUUUAUUGGGUGCUGUGUGUGGGUGAGAAAAAGAAAGAUAUCCAUGUUCAAACGAAUUGAACUAAGAACGAUUUUUUAUUACAAAAAAAAAAAAAACAAAACUGUAAGUAAAAAGAUUUUUUUUUUUACCCCACUACAUCUUGAAUAUCUCAUAUAUAAACUAUAUUAUAUAUAAAUAUAAUAAAUAAUAAUAUGAUAUUAAAGAGUAUCAUAUUAAUUUAUGAUUAGGUAUGAGUGGUGUGAGAAAUAAUACUAAAAUAAGAGUGUUUAUUGUGUGAGUGUGACAUACCAUUAACUAUGGUGUGAUUUUCAUGUUUCACCACUAAAUAAAAGACUACUGUGUUUUAUUUACUCACCAUUGUAUCCCAGAAUCCAUACCCAACAAUUGGUACCAGAGAUGUUGCCCAAAAUUUGUACCAACAGUCACCACCUCCUGACUCCAGAUUGAUGUUGCCCAAAAUUUGUACCAACAGUCACCACCUCCUGACUCCAGAUUGACGUGUCUGGUUGGCUUGCUUGAACACCAUUUCAUCUCGAUCGAUCCAUGGCAACCAUUAGCUUCAACACCAUUUCAUCUCAAUCCAUGGCAACCAUUAGCUUGAAGGCAUCUGUGGACAAGAAGAGCAACAGAGUUGUAUUUGUUGAAUCUGACGAGUUCUUUGUUGACAUCCUUUUCAGCUUUUUGACAAUGCCCAUGGGAACAAUCAUCCAUCUCAUCAGUAAUCUUUCACCGACAAAUAGGAUUGGUUGCAUGAAGAACUUAUAUAAAAGUGUUGAAAAUAUAGAUGUUAGGUAUUUCCGGACUGAAGCAUGCAAGGACAUGUUGCUGCAUCCUCAUAAUGCCGCUGCAGCUUAUUGUAAGAGCCUAAAACUGAAAAUUGAUAUCAUUGAUGCUUUAAGUUUCUUUUGUUGCGAGAGUUCCGAUUGUACUCGUACUGGCUACAAGUUGUGGAGUCAUUACAAAAAUGUUUAUUGUGGUUGUGGACGUCCCAUGAGCCGUAAUUUGAAUCUACCAUGCCCGGCUCCAUCAAAUAGUGGAUCUGACGAAAGAAAUCAAGGAGUGUUUGUCCAAGAACUGGCCCGAUUUGUUGUAAGUGACUAUUUUCAAGCGAUGCCAGCAUCAACUUCAGCAAGCAUUUCUCUUCUUACAAAGCUUGGAGUCAUGGAUACAAGUAACAUCGAGGAGAGGAUUUUUGACAUUGGAGUAACACAGGU